UACGGCGGCCAUAGCGGUAGGGAAACGCCCGGUCCCAUUCCGAACCCGGAAGCUAAGCCUACCAGCGCCGAUGGUACUGCAUGGGGGACCAUGUGGGAGAGUAGGACACCGCCGAAC
RNAcentral lists this ribosomal RNA (117 nucleotides) under Spelaeicoccus albus. Lineage: Bacteria; Bacillati; Actinomycetota; Actinomycetes; Micrococcales; Brevibacteriaceae. The record is from RNAcentral.